Molecule: unclassified non-coding RNA, 2216 nt
Filed under: Leishmania donovani
Lineage: Eukaryota; Euglenozoa; Kinetoplastea; Trypanosomatida; Trypanosomatidae
Description: gene:unknown
Source: RNAcentral
CCCUCACGACGAAAAAAAAAGUGAGAGGUGUAUUGACAUAGGGCGGUGGCGUGGUCUACCGGUAAAAGUAAAUCGGCUGAGACUCGAGAUCUUUCCCUGGUUGGAAUUCUGUCUGACGAAAAAAGGGAAGGAAGCAAAAAAAAAGUCAAAGUAUAUAUAGCAGCAUAGAAAGAAAAAGGAGAAUGGACACUUUUCGUUGAUGUUUCGAUUCGUGUGUUCUUUGUUUGCCUGUGGUUGUCCGCGUGUGUGCGUGGCUCAUCAUUUGGGUGGUGUGCUUGUGAUGAAAGGGGGAAAGACGUCGAUGUGGGAGGCGGCGGCUCCUGAGUCUAGCCGUAUCCAGGCGCGCACCUUUUCAGAGUUGUGAAGUUGGGGUCGAGACACAAAUGCGAAAAUGACACGCGCUGAAGUGACGAAGCAAGGAGCUGAGGGAAGCCUGACGCUUUUCAUCGAGUACUUCGUGUUCGGCGGCGUAGUGCAUUCACGGCUUGCCGUAAGCGCGCUCGAUUUUCUUUUUGACGCGUUUUAUGAUGCUCUCUACGCUAGCAAAGACGCUAUUCUCCUCCCUUUUCCGCCGGCUCGCUCUGCCCCUCCGUUCCCCAUUCCCCCCCUCCCUCAUCUUUUUUCCUUAUUGCUUUCUCGCACCGUCUGCCGGUCUGUAUGUGAUGGAUGAUAUCGACGUUGUUUGUAUGUGUCGGACUCGUUUCGUUUGUCAUAUAUAUAUAUAUAUGUAUCUUUUUUUUUGCCCUGUACUGCGUCGUGAAGGAGGAACAAAAAAAAACGGAAAAGGAUAAAAAUGUCGAGCAAAUCGCCACAACAAAAAAAAACACACAAACCACGAAAACGAGAAAAAAGGAGAAGAGGAGCGAAAACACAGACAUGAAAGACGAAAAAAAAACAAUAAAAGGAAGAAGGGAGGAACCGAGAAGAGAGCGAAAACACACAGACACCACACACACCGACGACAGCGGUGCCAUGUAUAGCGCUAGGCGUCUGUGCCAUUAUUGUUUUUUUUUCUUGUUCCGUCUCGCUCGUGUCCGUGGCCACGCAUAAUGAGUGAUGAGGUCCGCCGUCUCUCCUCCUCUGCCUCUCCUGUGUUUCAGAGACCCCCCUUCUCGGCAUUUGUAUUGUGGUCCUCGCUGAAGGAAUCAAAGCCGCCAUGUGCCGCGUGCCUCCUUGUUUUCGUCCCCUUUCUCCUCCUUUUCUACCUCCCUCCCCUCCGCUCCCCUCACAUUUUUGUUUGCUCAUGUCUGGGCGGGUGGAGUGGGGGGGGGAUGAAAAGAGCAUUCGUCGUUGACGUGUUGCGGGCGUAGGUGGAACUGAGCAAUACGCCAUGACUCCUCGAAGGGAAGAGGGAGGAGGGAGUUCAUGAUAUGCUGUUCGUGGACACGGCAACGUGCAAAGGAGAUGGGGAAGGGCGCAAGAGAAGGCUGAUGACUACAAUUCUCUGCCUUGAUGCUUUCUUUUUGUACCUUUUUUCUGUUUUCUUUUUCAAACUCUCAAGUUCUUCUCGCUCUAUUUUUUUUUCUCUAAAGGUGGCUACGAUGAUGAUAGUUGUAAAAAAAAACACCUAGCUGAAAAAAAACCGAAAGAGUGGCACAUGAACAGCAAGUCACAACUGUGGCGGCUAUGGCGUGUAUGGGAAGAGCGUGUGCGUGUUUGUGUGGUCGUGUGUGUAACAUGCGGCUCCAACAGCAGCAUCGCGGGGCCUGCCGUACGUUGACGCAGACACGCAAGCGUAUAUAGACACGGACAAGCGCCAAUUAGGAGUGGGGGCGUGCAGGAGAACUCCUUAGGGGCACGCAGAGGUGUUUUUUCCCGGUGAUGUGGCCAAGAGACGUGCUUGACGCCCAUCUGACUAGUGCGGCUCUGCUGACAAGCUUUGCAAAUCACGCACGUAGCCGGCUACGUAGCGGGCAGUCGCUCACGGAACUCUUUCCCCCGGUCCACCACCCACGUCCCUGCCAUCAUGUUCGCGCACUCAAAAAAAAAACCCACGCCCCUCCCCUUCACCACGGCCACCGAAAAAAAAAAACGAAACGCGUGCUUGCGGUUUCAUCGAAUGUCGACUGGCACUGCAGGCCUCUUACACAAAAUCUCUCCUCGUACUUGUGUAUCUUCCCCGGUGCCCCUUUCCUCUCUGUGAUUUUUUUGUGUAUUUUCGUGUCGGCGUUCGUGCCUCCGCGGUGCCUGACGUGACCCUUGUUCCGCCCACUUAG